Molecule: unclassified non-coding RNA, 237 nt
Filed under: Scirpus wichurae
Lineage: Eukaryota; Viridiplantae; Streptophyta; Magnoliopsida; Poales; Cyperaceae
Source: RNAcentral
UCGUUGCCUUUGGAAAAACACGACCGGCGCACACGUGACAGAAUGCUGCUGCGGAGGUGCUAGCUCGGCUCAGAUGCCUCCUCGGCCCCACCGCCCUCGGCCCUCUCGCCCUCCGGGCGCGUUGGUCGUGGGUCGGAAUACGGCGCGGGAUGACGCGCCAAGGAACACGAGAAUGCCGAGGCACCGGUCAGCCGCUCCAGGGUGGCGCCGGCUGCCAAAGGCUAGUAAUUGAAAAAA